This 460-nucleotide ribosomal RNA is filed under the name uncultured bacterium. Its description in RNAcentral is "partial 16S ribosomal RNA". It matches the Rfam family "Bacterial small subunit ribosomal RNA", at positions 338 to 795 of the family's 1533-position model. The record is from RNAcentral.
CCUACGGGACGCAGCAGUGAGGAAUCUUGGUCAAUGGACGAGAGUCUGAACCAGCCAAGUAGCGUGAAGGAUGACUGCCCUAUGGGUUGUAAACUUCUUUUAUAUGGGAAUAAAAUGUUCCACGUGUGGGAUUUUGUAUGUACCCUAUGAAAAAGGAUCGGCUAACUCCGUGCCAGCAGCCGCGGUAAUACGGAGGAUCCGAGCGUUAUCCGGAUUUGUUGGGUUUAAAGGGAGCGUAGGUGGAUUGUUAAGUCAGUUGUGAAUGUGUGCGGCUCAACCGUAAAAUUGCAGUUGAAACUGGCAGUCUUGAGUACAGUAGAGGUGGGCGGAAUUCGUGGUGUAGCGGUGAAAUGCUUAGAUAUCACGAAGAACUCCGAUUGCGAAGGCAGUUCACUGGACUGCAACUGACACUGAGGCUCGAAAGUGUGGGUAUCAAACAGGAUUAGAUACCCUUGUAGUC